UCGAACGGGGCCACCAUUUUUGAAGCGAUUAGCUUGCUAAGAGUGGACAUGUUGGCGGCUUAGUGGCGGACGGGUGAGUAACGCGUGGGCAACCUGCCAUAUACAGGGGGAUAACACUUAGAAAUAGGUGCUAAUACCGCAUAAGCGCACGGAGCUGCAUGGCUCAGUGUGAAAAACUCCGGUGGUAUAUGAUGGACCCGCGUCUGAUUAGCUUGUUGGCGGGGUAACGGCCCACCAAGGCGACGAUCAGUAGCCGGCCUGAGAGGGUGGACGGCCACAUUGGGACUGAGACACGGCCCAAACUCCUACGGGAGGCAGCAGUGGGGAAUAUUGGACAAUGGGGGGAACCCUGAUCCAGCGACGCCGCGUGAGUGAAGAAGUAUUUCGGUAUGUAAAGCUCUAUCAGCAGGGAAGAAAGAAAUGACGGUACCUGACCAAGAAGCCCCGGCUAACUACGUGCCAGCAGCCGCGGUAAUACGUAGGGGGCAAGCGUUAUCCGGAUUUACUGGGUGUAAAGGGAGCGUAGACGGUAAUGCAAGUCUGGAGUGAAAUGCAGGGGCUCAACCCCUGAACUGCUUUGGAAACUGUAUGACUGGAGUGCAGGAGAGGUAAGUGGAAUUCCUAGUGUAGCGGUGAAAUGCGUAGAUAUUAGGAGGAACACCAGUGGCGAAGGCGGCUUACUGGACUGUAACUGACGUUGAGGCUCGAAAGCGUGGGGAGCAAACAGGAUUAGAUACCCUGGUAGUCCACGCCGUAAACGAUGAUCACUA
RNAcentral lists this ribosomal RNA (770 nucleotides) under uncultured bacterium. RNAcentral describes it as "bacterial SSU rRNA". It matches the Rfam family "Bacterial small subunit ribosomal RNA", at positions 1 to 818 of the family's 1533-position model. The record is from RNAcentral.